GCCGAACGCUGGCGGCGUGCCUAAUACAUGCAAGUCGAACGCAGUGGGGACGGGUGAGUAACACGUGGGUAACCUCCCAUCAGAGGGGAUAACACUUGGAAACAGGUGCUAAAACGAUACUGAUGGAUGGACCCGCGGUGCAUUAGCUAGUUGGUGGGGUCACGGCUCACCAGGGCCACGAUGCAUAGCCGACCUGAGUGGGUGAUCGGCGACACUGGGACUGAUACACGGCCCAGACGCCUACGGGAGGCAGCAGUAGGGAAUGUUCGGCAAUGGACGAGAGUCUGACCGAGCAACGCCGCGUGAGUGAAGAAGGUGUUCGGAUCGUAAAGCUCUGUUGUUAGAUAAGCGGUAUCUAACCAGAAAGCCACGGCUAACUACGUGCCAGCAGCCGCGGUAAUUC
RNAcentral lists this ribosomal RNA (403 nucleotides) under uncultured bacterium. Its description in RNAcentral is "partial 16S ribosomal RNA". It matches the Rfam family "Bacterial small subunit ribosomal RNA", at positions 28 to 526 of the family's 1533-position model. The record is from RNAcentral.